Molecule: RNA transcript, 2472 nt
Organism: Sander lucioperca (pikeperch)
Lineage: Eukaryota; Metazoa; Chordata; Actinopteri; Perciformes; Percidae
Gene name: plastin-3-like
Exons: 18
Source: RefSeq, a predicted model, not a curated record
GAGGGGCGGAGCGGUUCUCCUUACCGGGCGGUGUCAGCUGGAGAAAACGGGACAGAGGAGCAGUGAGAGGCUGACACAGGAGGGAUUCAUUUCCCCGGCUGAUUGUUCUGACUGCACCAGCGGACUCCAGGUGUCAGCAUGUCGACAAACAUCAGCGCCGAGGAGAUGGCGGAGAUGAGGGAGGCUUUCCAGAAAGUGGAUUCGGAUGGCAAUGGGUACAUCGUCUCCUCUGAACUCGGCGAUCUCUUCCGCGAGGCGGGCUGUCCUUUGCCCGGAUACCAGAUCAGAGAACUGCUUCAGAAGCUGGACAGAGACAACGACAGCCGGAUCAACUUUGAUGAGUUCACGGCUAUUUUCAAGGAUAUGAAGGACGACCGCAUGGCCCAGGGUUUCAAGAAAGCUCUGAACAAGAAACAAGGCAUCGUGGCCAUCGGGGGCACCAGCGAGAUCUCUAGUGCAGGAACUCAGCAUUCCAUCUCUGAGCAGGAGCGCUUUGCCUUCGCCAACUACAUCAACUCUUCUUUGGAAAAGGAUCCAGACUGUAAACACCUGCUGCCCAUCAACCCCGAAACUGAAGCUCUGUUUAAAGCAGUGGCUGAUGGCGUCAUCCUUUGUAAACUCAUCAACCUCUCUGUCGCUGACACCAUCGAUGAGAGAACCAUUAAUAAAAAGAAACUGACAGCUUUCACCACACAGGAGAAUCUGAACUUGGCUCUGAAUUCCGCCUCGGCCAUCGGCUGCCAAGUCGUCAACAUUGGAGCUCAAGAUCUGAAGGAGGGAAAACCUCACCUGGUGCUCGGACUCCUCUGGCAGAUUAUCAAGAUAGGACUGUUCGCUGCUAUAGAGCUGAGCCGCAAUGAAGCUAUAGCAGCGCUGCUAGAGGAAGGGGAGAGUCUGGAAGAACUGAUGAAACUCAGUCCUGAGGAGCUGCUGCUGCGCUGGGCCAAUUUCCAUUUAAAGAAAGCCGGCAUGUCCAUAUCAAACUUUUCUGGAGAUAUUAAGGACUCCAAGGCGUACUUCCACCUGCUAGAGCAGAUUGCUCCAGAUGGCAGCAAAGAGGACGUUCCCCGGAUUGAGGUUGACAUGACUGGUCUUUAUGAGAAGGAUCUCACGAAGAGAGCAGAGUGUAUGCUCAAACAGGCCGAGCGCCUUGGCUGCAGACAGUUUGUAACUGCCACCGAUGUCGUGUGUGGAAACUCAAAGCUCAACAUGGCCUUCGUAGCCAAGCUCUUCAACAAACACCCGGCUCUCACCAAACCAGACAACCAAGACUGGAACAAUGUGGAGAGCGAGACCAGAGAGGAGAGAACUUUCAGGAACUGGAUGAACUCUCUCGGAGUCAGUCCACAUGUUCACCAUAUCUACGGUGAUCUGCAGGAUGCCAUGGUGAUUCUCCAGCUCUAUAAAACGAUUAAGGUGCCAGUGGACUGGGACAAAGUCAACCAACCUCCAUUCAAGGGAAAGGGAGCAGGGCAUUUAAAAAAGAUGGAAAACUGUACCUAUGCUGUGGAGCUGGGUAAGAAGAAAGCUGGUUUCUCCCUGGUGGGAAUUGGCGGACAGGACCUCUACGAUGGAAAUCCAACUCUAACUCUGGCACUGGUGUGGCAGCUGAUGAGGAGGUACACGUUAAAUGUUCUUGAAGAACUCGGGCAUGGAGCAGUUGCAGGAGAUGAUUUGAUUGUUUCAUGGGUCAACAAGACUUUGGCUGAGGCUGGCAAGAGUUCCUCUAUCAAAAGCUUUAAGGACAAAGUGAUCGGUACCAGUAUACCGGUUCUGGAGCUGAUUGAUGCCAUUCAGCCACAAAGUGUGAACUUUGAGCUGGUUCAAAAAGGAAGUCUGUCAGACGAAGACAAACUAAACAAUGCCAAGUAUGCCAUUUCCAUGGCGAGGAAGAUCGGGGCGAAAGUCUACGCUCUGCCUGAGGACCUGGUAGAGAUUAACCCGAAAAUGGUGAUGACCAUCUUCGCCUGCCUGAUGGGGAGAGGCAUGAAGAGGGCUUAAAGGACGCACACGCACACACACACACACACACACACACACACACACACACACACACACAAACAUAUAUACACGCAUACUGACUGACUGACUGUCUUCGCCCGUGUGAUUUCAUGAGACAUAAAGAGAGUUAACAUAGCUGUAUUGUCUUGUUCUUAUAAGCAGUUAUUCUGUGUUAGCCAAAAUACAAUAACAAUAGUGAUCAUCUGAGGGCUCAGCAGGAAUUUGAAUUUCUUUUUAAACGGUCAGACCAUAAAGGCUAUGGGUAAAUAUUUGGGGUUUGGGUGUUUUUUUUUCUGAAUCUCAGUUUUGCUUUUGGACACUUUAGUAGUUGGGUGAUUAGCAGGGUCACAUUAAGAAAACACUCAGCUUUCCAUACUGCUCGUUAAUAUAAAUAUCAGCAGGAAUGUGUUUGUCUAGACUGGCGACAUGUAUACAGGGUCUGCCCAGUACACGAGGGGUAAGCCUGUUGAG